Molecule: ribosomal RNA, 477 nt
Filed under: uncultured bacterium
Lineage: Bacteria
Description: bacterial SSU rRNA
Rfam family: Bacterial small subunit ribosomal RNA
Source: RNAcentral
GAGUUUGAUCUUGGCUCAGGAUGAACGCUGGCGGCGUGCCUAACACAUGCAAGUCGAACGGAGUUGUUUGAGGAAAUCCUUCGGGAUGGAAUCUUCCAACUUAGUGGCGGACGGGUGAGUAACGCGUGAGCAAUCUGCCUUUCAGAGGGGGAUAACAGCCGGAAACGGCUGCUAAUACCGCAUAAUGCAUCGGAUUCGCAUGUUUCUGAUGCCAAAGAUUUUAUCGCUGAAAGAUGAGCUCGCGUCUGAUUAGCUAGUUGGCGGGUAACGGCCCACCAAGGCGACGAUCAGUAGCCGGACUGAGAGGGUGAACGGCCACAUUGGGACUGAGACACGGCCCAAACUCCUACGGGAGGCAGCAGUGGGGAAUAUUGCACAAUGGGGGAAACCCUGAUGCAGCGACGCCGCGUGAAGGAUGAAGUAUUUCGGUAUGUAAACUUCUAUCAGCAGGGAAGAAAAUGACGGUACCUGACUAAG